CUCUUAUCAAGAGAGGUGGAGGGAAGUGCCCUAUGAAGCCCGGCAACCGUCAAUAUUCGUAUUGAAAUGGUGCCAAUUCACGCAAAGCGAAUGCUUUGGGAGAUGAGAG
RNAcentral lists this non-coding RNA (109 nucleotides) under Bacillus sp. (in: firmicutes). Its description in RNAcentral is "Bacillus sp. SAM-I sequence". It matches the Rfam family "SAM riboswitch aptamer (S box leader)". From Rfam's summary of the family: The SAM riboswitch is found upstream of a number of genes which code for proteins involved in methionine or cysteine biosynthesis in Gram-positive bacteria. The SAM riboswitch acts at the level of transcription termination control. Lineage: Bacteria; Bacillati; Bacillota; Bacilli; Caryophanales; Bacillaceae. RNAcentral also lists the same sequence under 1 other name. The record is from RNAcentral.